GAUGAACGCUGGCGGCGUGCCUAAUACAUGCAAGUCGAGCGAACGGACGAGAAGCUUGCUUCUCUGAUGUUAGCGGCGGACGGGUGAGUAACACGUGGAUAACCUACCUAUAAGACUGGGAUAACUUCGGGAAACCGGAGCUAAUACCGGAUGAUAUUUUGAACCGCAUGGUUCAAAAGUUAAAGACGGUCUUGCUGUCACUUAUAGAUGGAUCCGCGCUGCAUUAGCUAGUUGGUAAGGUAACGGCUUACCAAGGCAACGAUGCAUAGCCGACCUGAGAGGGUGAUCGGCCACACUGGAACUGAGACACGGUCCAGACUCCUACGGGAGGCAGCAGUAGGGAAUCUUCCGCAAUGGGCGAAGGCCUGACGGAGCAACGCCGCGUGAGUGAUGAAGGUCUUCGGAUCGUAAAACUCUGUUAUUAGGGAAGAACAUAUGUGUAAGUAACUGUGCACAUCUUGACGGUACCUAAUCAGAAAGCCACGGCUAACUACGUG
RNAcentral lists this ribosomal RNA (497 nucleotides) under uncultured bacterium. RNAcentral's name for it is "partial 16S ribosomal RNA". It matches the Rfam family "Bacterial small subunit ribosomal RNA", at positions 28 to 507 of the family's 1533-position model. The record is from RNAcentral.